Molecule: ribosomal RNA, 464 nt
Filed under: uncultured bacterium
Lineage: Bacteria
Description: partial 16S ribosomal RNA
Rfam family: Bacterial small subunit ribosomal RNA
Source: RNAcentral
CUACGGGUUGCUCCAGUAGGGAAUAUUGCGCAAUGGACGCAAGUCUGACGCAGCAACGCCGCGUGGGUGAUGAAGCUCUUCGGAGUGUAAAACCCUGUCAGUGGGGAAGAAACGUGCGGGCAGUAACUGUCCCGCACCUGACGGUACCCGCAGAGGAAGUCCCGGCUAACUCCGUGCCAGCAGCCGCGGUAAUACGGGGGGGACGAGCGUUGUUCGGAUUUACUGGGCGUAAAGGGCGUGUAGGCGGACCUGCAAGUCGGUUGUGAAAACUGGUGGCUCAACUGCCAGCCUGCAUCCGAUACUGCCGGUCUUGAGUACGGGAGAGGAGAGCGGAAUUCCAGGUGUAGCGGUGAAAUGCGUAGAUAUCUGGAAGAACAUCGGUAGCGAAGGCGGCUCUCUGGACCGAUACUGACGCUAAAGCGCGAAGGCUUGGGUAGCAAACAGGAUUAGAUACCCUGGUAGUC